CCUUGUUGUCAAGGACGUUUAAUCUUAUCUGCCUCAGGUCUCCAGCAUCCCUUCAAGUUUUUUCUUGAAUUCUCGACAAUGAUAUUUCCUGUUACCAACAAUGUCAUUAAUCAUUAUAAUUGUUUUCUCUCAUUUUCUUUUGGGCAUACAGAGAUUGAAUGGAACAACAACUAGGAUGCGAAGACUGACUUUGCUCAUGGAGAAAAGAGGCGUCUUGUGAAAUUUCUUCUACUUGUAUAUGCAAAGUUUUUUUAAUCUGUGUGAGCUUAUGUAAUGCUAGUGUUAAAACAUAAUUUGGAUAUGAUUUUUCUCUCCAUCUCAAUCGUUGUUACCCAAAUUCAUGUGACAGUAAAUACAAAUGUGUGCUAUAAACAGGAAACUUUGAAUACCAUGAAAUCCUAUACUAUCAACAUAGAUGUUUAAUCACACCAGUGGAUGACAAAACGUAAAGCAGAGAUGCAUAUAUAUUUCAAGUUGAGAAUAGAAGGUGAGAUUUAAGGAAAGAUGGGUGGUGAUUCUAAUGCAAACAGUCAGUCAGCCUCUUGACUGGCUUAGCUGUGCUCCAAUAGUAACAUUAACAGGCCCUUCAUCAACUGGCACAAACUAAAUGAACAGACCGAUAAGGAGGGCCAGGAACUCGACCUGCAUGGCACAAAAUAAUAUCUUAAAAGUGUGUGUUAAUCUACUUCAAUAAAGUAGUGAAGGUUGGGUUCAGGCCUUGAUCAUUCAGACAUGUUAAGACUGUCUUCUGAAAUAAAGGAAUUAGUGUUGGAAGAAGUCUUACGGUUAGUAGUGAACCCUGUCUGAAGUUGAUCAUCGAUGGAAACCGGACAUUGUCUUCAAAUAACCAAAAGACAUUUGCAAAUUUGGUUCCUCGUGGUUAGCCC
Molecule: long non-coding RNA, 887 nt
Filed under: Gossypium barbadense (sea-island cotton)
Lineage: Eukaryota; Viridiplantae; Streptophyta; Magnoliopsida; Malvales; Malvaceae
Description: long non-coding RNA (GBAR_LNC003780)
Source: RNAcentral